This 884-nucleotide ribosomal RNA is filed under the name uncultured Planctomycetota bacterium. RNAcentral's name for it is "bacterial SSU rRNA". It matches the Rfam family "Bacterial small subunit ribosomal RNA", at positions 8 to 877 of the family's 1533-position model. The record is from RNAcentral. Lineage: Bacteria; Pseudomonadati; Planctomycetota.
AGAGUUUGAUCAUGGCUCAGAACGAACGUUGGCGGCGUGGUGUAGGCAUGCAAGUCGAGCGAGAAAGCGCCUUCGGGUGUGAGUAAAGCGGCGAAAGGGUGAGUAAUAUAUAGACAAUCUACCCUCGAGUUCGGAAUAACCUCCCUAACGGGUGGCUGAUACUGGAUGGUGUCACGAAGUCGCAUGGCUUUGUGGCUAAAGGUGGGAUACUACCGCUUGAGGAGGGGUCUAUGUCCUAUUAGCUUGUUGGUGGGGUAACGGCCCACCAAGGCGAUGAUGGGUAGCCGGACUGAGAGGUUGGCCGGUCACACUGGGACUGAGACACUGCCCAGACUCCUACGGGAGGCUGCAGUCGAGAAUCUUCCGCAAUGGACGAAAGUCUGACGGAGCAACGCCGCGUGGGGGAUGAAGGCCUUCGGGUUGUAAACUCCUGUCAGGGGUUAUGAAAUUCAGGGUGGUUAAUACCCAUCUUGUUUGACAAAGGCCCCAGAGGAAGCACUGGCUAACUACGUGCCAGCAGCCGCGGUAAUACGUAGAGUGCAAACGUUGUUCGGAAUUACUGGGCAUAAAGAGCUCGUAGGCGGCGCGGUAAGUCGGUUGUGAAAGCCCCUGGCUCAACCAGGGAACUGCAGCCGAUACUGCCGUGCUCGAGUGUGGGAGGGGAGUGUGGAACUUUCAGUGGAGCGGUGAAAUGCGUAGAUAUUGGAAGGAACGCCGGUGGCGAAAGCGACACUCUGGCCCACUACUGACGCUGAGGAGCGAAAGCUAGGGUAGCGAACGGGAUUAGAUACCCCGGUAGUCCUAGCCGUAAACGAUGGGCACUAAGUGGAGGGAAUCCUACCUUUCUCUCUUCUGAAGCUAAUGUAUUAAGUGCCCCGCCUGGG